AGACCACAAAGCAUCUCCCCCAUGAAAGGAGCAAGUGAGACAAGAGGAAGUUAAAGAGCCUGGGAGUGAGCGGAGGCAGGCGUAGAUGUCAAGGGGAGGAAAACAAGAAGGCAAAACGGCUCUACUGUUUGUCUGUGAGGAAGGAGAGGGUUUCAGGAAGGAACGACCGGUCAACACUGUACAUUUUCAAAGGUCAGAGAAUUUAAGAGCUGAAAGUUGUGCAGUACGUUCUGAGAACUCAGAGGAAUUUGGAGACCUUCUACCGUGGAGAGGUGCAGGCGGAAGCAAGGAUUUGGUUUUCUCCUGUAUUUCUUCAACCAGAAUCCCCCGCAGAAGCUGGAGUGGAAGGUGCCCAGCAUGGUAACAACCAGCACACAGACAGAACCUGGAAAAGACAAUUUGUUAAUGUUUAUCCUGGCCAGGGGAGCAGGCUGCUGACUGACAGCCACAAAUUCUAUCCAAAAGAGAAGAAGUUGAUUCAUUUGGCUCUACUCGCCUGGGAUGAAAUAAUUCUUGCUGAUACAUCCCAGCCUUUGCUUGGCAGAAUGGUGUUCAAGGAGAGGUAUUGCUGGGAAUCGUCCUGAGUGGAUUGUGGGUUUGCUCAUGUAAUCUGGAAAGUGGGUUCCGAGCCUAAGGACUAUGACACACAGACUUUGGGGUCUGGAAUUUGAACCCCCAUCGGUUUCCCCUACCCCCGAAAGGAAGGACAGACAUCUCAUGACAACUGAGAAUGCUCUCUUGGUCAGCAAAAUCAAGUGUUGAAAUGAUUCCCUGCCGGAUGAUUCAGGCCAAGACAGGAAGGUCUCAGUCAAGUUACAUGUUAAUGGUGCGGGCAGUGCGCAGUUUCAUCCCUCAAAUCAAUCCUUUCUGCAAACUGUGCAGUGUUUGUCAAUGCUAGUCUUCCAGUAUCCAAUCAAGCAUAUCAUUCCCGAAUCCAGAUUUCCAACCCUACCUACAGCUUGAGAAAAGGACUGGCUCUAUAGACGCAUUUGAGGGGCGCCCCGCUGGGUCAUCCAAUAAAAAACAUUGUUUCUGGGGGCGCCUGAGUGGCUCAGUGGGUUGAGGCCUUUGCCGUCCGCUCAGGUCAUG
Mustela erminea (ermine) is the source of this 1089-nucleotide long non-coding RNA. RefSeq lists it as uncharacterized. Lineage: Eukaryota; Metazoa; Chordata; Mammalia; Carnivora; Mustelidae. The record is from RefSeq and is a predicted model, not a curated record. The transcript is spliced from 3 exons.